Unclassified non-coding RNA from Macaca fascicularis (crab-eating macaque), 265 nucleotides. It matches the Rfam family "Metazoan signal recognition particle RNA". Rfam says of the family: The signal recognition particle (SRP) is a universally conserved ribonucleoprotein. It is involved in the co-translational targeting of proteins to membranes. The record is from Ensembl. NCBI's taxonomy places the organism in Eukaryota, Metazoa, Chordata, Mammalia, Primates, Cercopithecidae.
GCCAGGCAUGGUGGUGCAUACCUGUAGUCCCAGCUACUUGGGAGGCUGAGGCAGGGGAAUUGCUUGAACCCGGGAGGCACAGAUUGCAGUGAGCCAUAAUUGUGCCACUUUACUCCAGCCUGGGUGACAGAGUGAGACUCCCAACUCUUUUUUCUUUUUCCUUUGAGACAGAGCCUUGCUUUGUCACCCAGGCUGGAGAGCAGUGGCACAAUCUCGGCUCACUGCAACCUCCGCAUCCCGGGUUCACGCCAUUCUCCUGCCUCGG